GCAGCAGGAGCGGCUGUUCGUUUACGAGUUCAUCCCAAAUCGGAGCCUUGAUAAGAUCCUAUUUGGUAGUUUCAAGGAGAUAAAGCAUUGUUGUGUUUGCUGAUCAAGUAUGAGAAGGAAUCAUGUUCAGAGACAGGUUCAAUACAACAUUUAUAAUAUCUGACAUAUGUGGGAUGCCAAAUAUCCGUUCUCGGAGGAAUUUAGAGCUGAGGUUAUUCUUUUGGAAAUGGAUGACAUAGGAGAGGUCUGGCCAGACAA
Lolium rigidum is the source of this 258-nucleotide long non-coding RNA. RefSeq lists it as uncharacterized. The record is from RefSeq and is a predicted model, not a curated record. NCBI's taxonomy places the organism in Eukaryota, Viridiplantae, Streptophyta, Magnoliopsida, Poales, Poaceae. The transcript has 3 exons.